Molecule: non-coding RNA, 1122 nt
Organism: Heterocephalus glaber (naked mole-rat)
Lineage: Eukaryota; Metazoa; Chordata; Mammalia; Rodentia; Bathyergidae
Source: RefSeq, a predicted model, not a curated record
CAAGAGGAGUCAGCAGGUGAAUGGUGGUUGUCUUUACCAGAAAGCUUUACUACUGCCCCUCGCCCCGGCCCCAAGUGGACAGCGGCGGCCCCCUGUAAUUGUGGGUCUUCUGAGAAAGAUGCUUCUUCUGGGUCAUUGUCUCUUCAUGGUGCUCUCAAUGUAUGACUCCAGCAGGAAGAUGGUUUCGUCUACCUGGAUCUCACUGGCAUCCAACCUGAAAAGAUGAAAGCAUUUCACUGUGGAAGCUGCUGAGGGUGCAGAAGAUAGAGCCUCUGUCCUGGGGGAGGUUACAGUAUAACUUGCAACCAGGAGGAAGGACAGCGCAUGUAAAGACAUAGGUAAAAGGUUGGAAGAUUUAAUACUGUUAAGUUGGCAGUACUCCCCAAAGCAAUCUACAGAUUCAAUGCGAUCCCUAUUAAGGUAAGUGGUGAGGAAUGGAAGGAAAGGAAGAUGGAGCCAGGCUGCUAGGAAACUGUGAAGGCUCGUCAGUCAUGCCGGUGAGUCUGGCCUUUACACUGUACAUGUAAAGAAUUAAAUCACCUGAAGUAGGAGAGUGAUGUUAUCAAUCAUUUUAAAGAUCAUACUUUUGAAAGCACUCUGAGAUGAUUUGGGGGGUCAACGUGAAAGCCUAGGAGAGACAAGCUGAAAGCCUGCAUGGGGGCCAAGAUGAAAGCCAGAUGUGAGACACAUUACUGAAGUAAGAUUUAGAAUGCUUGGUGAGAACAGAGUAACACUGCAGAGAAGCAGCUGAGGAUGUCUUCAGAAUUGCUGGUUCAGAAAAGUAGGUGGAUUAAAUUCAUUAACCGAGCUGGGAAAGAAGACAGUGAGCUCAGGUUCAUUUGUGUUAGUUGGAGGGGUUGCAGAAUGUUGGGAUGGACCUGUCUGGAAGGCAUGUUGAAAUACAGGUCUGAAGUUAAGCUUACUUGUUACACUUGAUCUUAGCCAAAAGGCCGAGAGGCGAUAAGCUUACUUGUUGACAUUGCGCUUCAGGGUCUCCAGCUGCUGACGCUCAGGGGCUGUGAUCAUCUCCUCUAUUUCUUGCAGCUGUGCUUCCUCUGCACCUGUGGCUUGCACAGAUGCAAUGAUGGCUUCUACCCUCUGAGACUUUUCGAGCAGACGCCU